RNAcentral lists this ribosomal RNA (253 nucleotides) under uncultured bacterium. RNAcentral describes it as "partial 16S ribosomal RNA". It matches the Rfam family "Bacterial small subunit ribosomal RNA", at positions 524 to 776 of the family's 1533-position model. The record is from RNAcentral.
UACGGAGGUGGCAAGCGUUACUCGGAUUUAUUGGGUGUAAAGGGCAGGUAGGUGGUUCUGUAAGUUGGGAGUGAAAUCCCCCGGCUCAACCGGGGAACUGCUUCCAAAACUGCGGGACUUGAGACUAGAAGAGGAAAGUGGAAUUCCCGGUGUAAGGGUGAAAUCUGUAGAUAUCGGGAGGAACACCAGUAGCGAAGGCGACUUUCUGGGCUAGUUCUGACACUGAGCUGCGAAAGCUAGGGGAGCAAACAGG